RNAcentral lists this ribosomal RNA (253 nucleotides) under uncultured bacterium. Its description in RNAcentral is "partial 16S ribosomal RNA". It matches the Rfam family "Bacterial small subunit ribosomal RNA", at positions 524 to 776 of the family's 1533-position model. The record is from RNAcentral.
UACAGAGGGUGCGAGCGUUGUCCGGAAUCACUGGGCGUAAAGGGUGCGUAGGCGGCCGCGCAAGUCUGGCGUGAAAGCCCUGGGCUCAGCCCGGGAAGUGCGCUCGAAACUGCGCGGCUCGAGUGCCGGAGGGGAGAGUGGAAUUCCUGGUGUAGCGGUGAAAUGCGUAGAUAUCAGGAGGAAUACCGGUGGCGAAAGCGACUCUCUGGACGGCAACUGACGCUGAGGCACGAAAGCGUGGGGAGCAAACAGG